GGUAGUCCACGCAGUAAACGAUGAUUACUAGCUGUUUGCGAUACACAGUAAGCGGCACAGCGAAAGCGUUAAGUAAUCCACCUGGGGAAUACGCCGGCAACGGUGAAACUCAAAGGAAUUGACGGGGGCCCGCACAAGCGGAGGAACAUGUGGUUUAAUUCGAUGAUACGCGAGGAACCUUACCCGGGUUUGAACGCAGAGAGACAGGAGUGGAAACAUUCUUUUCAGCAAUGACUGUCUGCGAGGUGCUGCAUGGUUGUCGUCAGCUCGUGCCGUGAGGUGUCGGCUUAAGUGCCAUAACGAGCGCAACCCUUAUCUUUAGUUACUAACAGGUCAAGCUGAGGACUCUAGAGAGACUGCCAGCGUAAGCUGUGAGGAAGGUGGGGAUGACGUCAAAUCAGCACGGCCCUUACAUCCGGGGCGACACACGUGUUACAAUGGUAAGGACAAAGGGCAGCUACCGGGCGACCGGAUGCGAAUCUCUAAACCUUAUCUCAGUUCGGAUCGGAGUCUGCAACUCGACUCCGUGAAGCUGGAUUCGCUAGUAAUCGCGCAUCAGCCAUGGCGCGGUGAAUACGUUCCCGGGCCUUGUACACACCGCCCGUCAAGCCAUGGGAGCCGGGGGUACCUGAAGUUCGUAACCGCAAGGAUCGACCUAGGGUAAAACUGGUGACUGGGGCUAAGUCGUAACAAGGUAACC
RNAcentral lists this ribosomal RNA (700 nucleotides) under uncultured bacterium. Its description in RNAcentral is "bacterial SSU rRNA". It matches the Rfam family "Bacterial small subunit ribosomal RNA", at positions 789 to 1501 of the family's 1533-position model. The record is from RNAcentral.